RNAcentral lists this ribosomal RNA (377 nucleotides) under uncultured bacterium. Its description in RNAcentral is "bacterial SSU rRNA". It matches the Rfam family "Bacterial small subunit ribosomal RNA", at positions 521 to 896 of the family's 1533-position model. The record is from RNAcentral.
UAAGACGAACCGCCCGAACGUUAUUCGGAAUUAUUGGGCUUAAAGGGUGCGUAGGCGGCGCUGUAAGUCGGGUGUGAAAUCCUUCGGCUUAACCGAAGAAUUGCGCCCGAAACUGCAGUGCUCGAGGGAGACAGAGGUAAGCGGAACUGAUGGUGGAGCGGUGAAAUGCGUUGAUAUCAUCAGGAACACCGGUGGCGAAAGCGGCUUACUGGGUCUCUUCUGACGCUGAGGCACGAAAGCUAGGGGAGCAAACGGGAUUAGAUACCCCGGUAGUCCUAGCUGUAAACGAUGAGCACUGGAUCGGAGGAUCCUCCAUAAUCUUUCGGUCGUAGCGAAAGUGUUAAGUGCUCCGCCUGGGGAGUAUGGUCGCAAGGCUG